AAACCAUGCAUCGGGCAUUUUCUAAUUAAAUCUUUAAAUCGCUCUUAAGCUCCAUACAAUGUCUCAUUUUUAGAUUGUCGAAAAGAUGUAAUAUCGUUCCUUAAUUU
Small nucleolar RNA from Gossypium arboreum, 107 nucleotides. It matches the Rfam family "Plant small nucleolar RNA R71". From Rfam's summary of the family: R71 is a member of the C/D box family of snoRNAs containing the C (UGAUGA) and D (CUGA) box motifs. The record is from Rfam. NCBI's taxonomy places the organism in Eukaryota, Viridiplantae, Streptophyta, Magnoliopsida, Malvales, Malvaceae.